This is a long non-coding RNA of Synchiropus splendidus (mandarinfish), 728 nucleotides long. RefSeq lists it as uncharacterized. The record is from RefSeq and is a predicted model, not a curated record. NCBI's taxonomy places the organism in Eukaryota, Metazoa, Chordata, Actinopteri, Syngnathiformes, Callionymidae. The transcript is spliced from 4 exons.
CAGAGAGUGCCAUCUAGUGUGCUCUUAAAAUGACAACACUGAAGCUUCAUGAAGCUUUGACAAAUCCUGCACUCCCCGUCAGUUCUGCUUCACUAGUUAUAUUGGCCGAAAUCUACCUCUGCGCAUCGAUAAGUGAGAUGAACCUGAGAGUUAUAGAAGUUAACUGCUGCCAGGCUGAACUGCAACUACAAGAGCCUGUGAGAACCAUCUGCAAGAUGGGCCAAAAGAGCUUGGUAUGAGUAUCCGGUAGUGACACUUUUUUCAGAGGCCACUGGAUGGCGCCCUUGGUUUCAUUGACUUAAGUCAGGUCCAAACAUUUUACAGCAGACAGUGCCAUCUGGUGGCCUCAGAAAAUCAUUACACUGUUUCAUGAAACCUCAUCAACGCUUCAAUACUGUGUCAUGAAACCUCACCUGCUCAUCACUACUAUCAGGUCAGGAUGGGUGGUUUUGUUGGCUAACCUUGAGUUCCAUCAUUGGUCACUCACUAGGAAGGUUCCUCAUCUGUGAUCUGAGAAGGACACAUUGACUCUUUCACACUGAAGUCACCUCUGCUUCUGGUUCUCCUGAAGGAAAUGAGAACAUGAAGCCCUGGAACAGCACCCGAUCAGAAACAUCCUUCACCAUCGAAUUAAUGUCAAGGUUUUGAAGUAAAUUCCUAUGGGAAUCCACAGCCCCUCUGACCCUGCUGCCCACAACCUUCUUUGGUUCAGGACGCAUGCCAACAAA